Molecule: ribosomal RNA, 310 nt
Filed under: uncultured soil bacterium
Lineage: Bacteria
Description: bacterial SSU rRNA
Rfam family: Bacterial small subunit ribosomal RNA
Source: RNAcentral
AGAUUGAACGCUAGCGGCAUGCCUUACACAUGCAAGUCGAACGGCAGCACGGGAGCAAUCCUGGUGGCGAGUGGCGAACGGGUGAGUAAUAUAUCGGAACGUGCCCAGUCGUGGGGGAUAACGCAGUGAAAGCUGUGCUAAUACCGCAUACGAUCUAUGGAUGAAAGCGGGGGACUCGCAAGAGCCUCGCGCGAUUGGAGCGGCCGAUAUCAGAUUAGCUAGGUUGGUAGGGUAAAAGCCCACCAAGGCGACGAUCGUGUAGCUGGUCUAGGAGAGGACACCAGCCACACUGGAACUGACGACACGGUCC